AGCAGACAAUUCGAGUCAAGGUUUAUUUUCUCUUACUGUUCUCAAUGGAAGCUGGGCCACAUACAUAGAUUCUGAUCCACCUCAGUAUUACUACACUUCAGAAAAUCCCAAUAGUCCUUAUUGGAGUUUUGAUGGUCAUACCCUUACUGCUUUACAAUAUCCUCCUACAUCGAUAGCUCAAUACAUACAGCUUGGGCAUGAUGGACAUUUACGCGUAUACCAAUUGGACAACCUUGAACAGAAUUUGGUUUCUGGUCAGAAGCUGACAGCAAGCGUUUCAGCAGACAAUUCGAGUCAAGGUUUAUUUUCUCUUACUGUUCUCAAUGGAAGCUGGGCCACAUACAUAGAUUCUGAUCCACCUCAGUAUUACUACACUUCAGAAAAUCCCAAUAGUCCUUAUUGGAGUUUUGAUGGUCAUACCCUUACUGCUUUACAAUAUCCUCCUACAUCGAUAGCUCAAUACAUACAGCUUGGGCAUGAUGGACAUUUACGCGUAUACCAAUUGGAC
This 508-nucleotide long non-coding RNA is filed under the name Solanum tuberosum (potato). RNAcentral describes it as "long non-coding RNA (STUB_LNC007690)". The record is from RNAcentral. Lineage: Eukaryota; Viridiplantae; Streptophyta; Magnoliopsida; Solanales; Solanaceae.